This 85-nucleotide transfer RNA is filed under the name bacterium. Its description in RNAcentral is "tRNA-Leu". It matches the Rfam family "tRNA". From Rfam's summary of the family: Transfer RNA (tRNA) molecules are approximately 80 nucleotides in length. The record is from RNAcentral.
GCCGAGGUGGCGGAAUUGGUAGACGCACUGGUCUUAGGAACCAGCGCCUUCGGGCAUGGGGGUUCGACUCCCCCCUUCGGCACCA